Molecule: ribosomal RNA, 332 nt
Filed under: uncultured eukaryote
Lineage: Eukaryota
Description: partial 18S ribosomal RNA
Rfam family: Eukaryotic small subunit ribosomal RNA
Source: RNAcentral
CCCUUAGAUGUCCUGGGCUGCACGCGCGCUACACUGGAAGUUACGGAUUGAGAUACUACCUUGUCCGAAAUGGUCCGGGUAAUCACCUAAAGGCUUGUCAUAAUUGGAAUGGAUUAUUGUAACUAGUAAUCCUGAACGAGGAAUUCCUAGUAAGUCCCAGUCAACAGCUGGUACUGAUUACGUCCCUGCCCUUUGUACACACCGCCCGUCGCUACUACUGAUUGGACGUUUAAGCAAGAUUUUUAAACACUGACAGUGUGUAGUUCACGCUAUACUACAGUGAGAAGAAGAAGAUCGAGCUUACUUGUCUAGAGGAAGUAAAAGUCGUAACA